Molecule: long non-coding RNA, 547 nt
Organism: Mirounga angustirostris (Northern elephant seal)
Lineage: Eukaryota; Metazoa; Chordata; Mammalia; Carnivora; Phocidae
Exons: 3
Source: RefSeq, a predicted model, not a curated record
GGUCCCGGCUCCCCGGCCCCUGCGCGCGGCGCCCAGCCACUCGCACGUCCAACGCCCUCUUUCCCCCUGAAAAGUUUUUAGACGGUGGGGACUAUUUUCUUCUAAGGGGAACCAAGGUCCCCUGGGAAUGACUUCUUAAAUCCUAGAGACAAAAGUCAAACCUUGAAACUGCCCUUUGGGGCAGUUCGCUGAAUUCGGGUUUGAUCGGUACCUUGCUCAUUCUGUUGUCCACUUGAAAUGCCUUCUUCCCUUCCCUCAUUUAUCCAUAUUCUAACCAUGCUUCAAGACGAGAUCUGAGCCCCACUCCUUUCAAGAAGCUUUCUCUGAAGACUUGAACCUGCACAGAGCUUUCCUUUCUCUUUCCAGAACAUACAGUCUGUCUCACACAGCAUUGUUUUAUGUGUUCUAUUCUGUAAUUAUCUGGACCACACACAUUUGCACUUGGUAAUAUUGUUACCUUCUUUGCUGUUUUGUUCAUUAAUAUAUGGAAGAAAUAAUAGGCUUUUACUGAACAUUUGGCUGAUUAAAGAUAAUAAACUACUUAUUU